RNAcentral lists this unclassified non-coding RNA (328 nucleotides) under soil metagenome. Its description in RNAcentral is "partial contains 5.8S ribosomal RNA, internal transcribed spacer 2, and large subunit ribosomal RNA". The stretch from base 1 to 120 matches the Rfam family "5.8S ribosomal RNA", at positions 35 to 154 of the family's 154-position model. The record is from RNAcentral.
GAUGAAGAACGUAGCGAAAUGCGAUAAGUAAUGUGAAUUGCAGAAUUCAGUGAAUCAUCGAAUCUUUGAACGCACAUUGCGCCCCUUGGUAUUCCGAGGGGCAUGCCUGUUCGAGCGUCAUUAUAACCCUCAAGCUCAGCUUGGUGUUGGGGCCUGCUGCACUGGCAGCCCUUAAAAUCAGUGGCGGCGCCAUCUGGCUCUAAGCGUAGUAAUUCUUCUCGCUAUGGGGUCCUGGUGGAUGCUUGCCAUCAACCCCCAAUUUUUCUAUGGUUGACCUCGGAUCAGGUAGGGAUACCCGCUGAACUUAAGCAUAUCAAUAAGCGGAGGA